CGAGUUGGCCGGGCGGCCGCGGCGCGCGGGCCGAUCCGAUGGGGGAUCGGGUUGGUGCGGGCGUCGAGGAAAGUCCGGACUUCACAGAGCGGGGUGAUUGUUAACAGCAAUCCGAGGUGACUCGCGGGAUAGUGCCACAGAAAACAGACCGCCACUUCGGUGGUAAGGGUGAAACGGUGCGGUAAGAGCGCACCAGCAUCCCGGGUGACCGGGGUGGCUCGGUAAACCCCACCCGAAGCAAGGCCAAGAAGACCGCAGUGGGGGUGUGGUCGCGCAGGCGUUUGAGGGUUGCUCGCCCGAGCCUGCGGGUAGGCCGCUUGAGGCACCCGGUGACGGUGUGUCCAGAUGGAUGGUCGCCGCCGCGCCGGUAUCGGCGCGGAACAGAAUCCGGCUUACAGGCCAGCUCGUCCG
This 411-nucleotide RNase P RNA is filed under the name Mycobacterium talmoniae. RNAcentral describes it as "Bacterial RNase P class A". It matches the Rfam family "Bacterial RNase P class A". From Rfam's summary of the family: Ribonuclease P (RNase P) is a ubiquitous endoribonuclease, found in archaea, bacteria and eukarya as well as chloroplasts and mitochondria. RNAcentral also lists the same sequence under 1 other name. Lineage: Bacteria; Bacillati; Actinomycetota; Actinomycetes; Mycobacteriales; Mycobacteriaceae. The record is from Rfam by way of RNAcentral.